This 206-nucleotide unclassified non-coding RNA is filed under the name plant metagenome. Its description in RNAcentral is "partial contains small subunit ribosomal RNA, internal transcribed spacer 1, and 5.8S ribosomal RNA". The record is from RNAcentral.
UUUCCGUAGGUGAACCUGCGGAAGGAUCAUUCAUAAUAAGUGCUUUAUGGCACUUUUUUAAAUCCAUAUCACCUUGUGUGCAAUGUCAGGGUUGGUCUCUUUUGAUCAGCCCCAAACAUCAACUAUUAUCUCAACUCUUUGUCUGAAAGAUAUUAUGAAUAAAACAAUUCAAAAUACAACUUUCAACAACGGAUCUCUUGGCUCUC